GACGAACGCUGGCGGCGUGCUUAACACAUGCAAGUCGAACGGAAAGGCCCUGCUUUUGUGGGGUGCUCGAGUGGCGAACGGGUGAGUAACACGUGAGUAACCUGCCCUUGACUUUGGGAUAACUUCAGGAAACUGGGGCUAAUACCGGAUAGGAGCUCCUGCUGCAUGGUGGGGGUUGGAAAGUUUCGGCGGGUGGGGAUGGACUCGCGGCUGAUCAGCUUGUUGGUGGGGUAGUGGCUUACCAAGGCUUUGACCGGUAGCCGGCCUGAGAGGGUGGCCGGCCACAUUGGGACUGAGAUACGGCCCAGACUCCUACGGGAGGCAGCAGUGGGGAAUAUUGCACAAUGGGCGGAAGCCUGAUGAAGCAACGCCGCGUGCGGGAUGACGGCCUUCGGGUUGUAAACCGCUUUCGCCUGUGACGAAGCGUGAGUGACGGUAAUGGGUAAAGAAGCACCGGCUAACUACGUG
RNAcentral lists this ribosomal RNA (468 nucleotides) under uncultured bacterium. RNAcentral describes it as "partial 16S ribosomal RNA". It matches the Rfam family "Bacterial small subunit ribosomal RNA", at positions 28 to 507 of the family's 1533-position model. The record is from RNAcentral.